UAGUAAAGAUUUUAAAUAAGUAAUUAAUAAUUUAUAAAAAGUAUAAUUUUAGAAAAUCUAUAAUAGCUCUUCUUUAUUUUAAUCCCCGAAAGGGUUAUGAUUAUAAAUCUAGAGAAAUUAGUUUUUAAUAAUGUACCUUUUGUAUCAGGGGCUUAGGAAUAUAAAUAAUUAAAUAAUAACCUCCCGAAAGAAAAGGGAUUUUUAGUUUUAUAAAUGUUAUUAUUUCAUCAAUAUAAAUAAUAAAAUUAAAGAGAUAAAAAGUCAAUUCGUUCAUUCUUAUAACUGGUUUGCUUAAAGAAGCUUUUAUAGAAAGUUAUAGAAAAUUGGAUUAACACUUUAUUUUCUCUAAAUUCAUAAAGGGAUAAGCUUUUAUGACUCUAGGAAUAUCAAUUUUUACUUUAUCUUCUUGACAGGAUAGUCGCUAUUUAUUUAUUUAUAGAUCAACCUAUAGAAUAGCAUCUUUAGUAAAAUAAAAUUUAAACUUUAAUAAUUAUCUUAGCAUUAGUACUUACAAA
RNAcentral lists this ribosomal RNA (515 nucleotides) under Pediculus schaeffi. RNAcentral's name for it is "partial large subunit ribosomal RNA". The record is from RNAcentral. Lineage: Eukaryota; Metazoa; Arthropoda; Insecta; Psocodea; Pediculidae.